This 495-nucleotide ribosomal RNA is filed under the name uncultured bacterium. RNAcentral describes it as "partial 16S ribosomal RNA". It matches the Rfam family "Bacterial small subunit ribosomal RNA", at positions 28 to 507 of the family's 1533-position model. The record is from RNAcentral.
GACGAACGCUGGCGGCGUGCCUAAUACAUGCAAGUAGAACGCUGAAGGAGGAGCUUGCUUCUCUGGAUGAGUUGCGAACGGGUGAGUAACGCGUAGGUAACCUGCCUGGUAGCGGGGGAUAACUAUUGGAAACGAUAGCUAAUACCGCAUAAGAGUAGAUGUCGCAUGACAUUUGCUUAAAAGGUGCAAUUGCAUCACUACCAGAUGGACCUUCGUUGUAUUAGCUAGUUGGUGAGGUAACGGCUCACCAAGGCGACGAUACAUAGCCUAGCUGAUUGGGGGAUCGGCCACACUGGGACUGAGACACGGCCCAGACUUCGACGGGAAGCAGCAGUAGGGAAUCUUCGGCAAUGGACGGAAGUCUGACCGAGAAACGCCGCGUGAGUGAAGAAGGUUUUCGGAUAGUAAAGCUAUGUUGUAAGAGAAGAACGAGUGUGAGAGUGGAAAGUUCACACUGUGACGGUAUCUUAACAGAAAGGGACGGCUAACUACGUG